This 279-nucleotide ribosomal RNA is filed under the name uncultured Fibrobacter sp. RNAcentral's name for it is "partial 16S ribosomal RNA". It matches the Rfam family "Bacterial small subunit ribosomal RNA", at positions 1100 to 1382 of the family's 1533-position model. The record is from RNAcentral. Lineage: Bacteria; Pseudomonadati; Fibrobacterota; Fibrobacteria; Fibrobacterales; Fibrobacteraceae.
AACCCUUAUCAUUAGUUACCAGCGAGUCAUGUCGGGGACUCUAAUGAGACUGCCGGGUUAACCGGAGGAAGUGGGAUGACGUCAAGUCCUCAUGGCCCUUAUGUCCAGGGCUACACACGUGCUACAAUGGGCGGUACAGAGUGUCGCAAUACCGCGAGGUAGAGCCAAAUCACAAAAACCGCUCUCAGUUCGGAUUGGAGUCUGCAACUCGACUCCAUGAAGCUGGAAUCGCUAGUAAUCGCGGAUCAGCAUGCCGCGGUGAAUACGUUCCCGGGCCUU